RNAcentral lists this ribosomal RNA (750 nucleotides) under Shigella sonnei. Its description in RNAcentral is "partial 23S ribosomal RNA". It matches the Rfam family "Bacterial large subunit ribosomal RNA", at positions 2172 to 2916 of the family's 2925-position model. Lineage: Bacteria; Pseudomonadati; Pseudomonadota; Gammaproteobacteria; Enterobacterales; Enterobacteriaceae. The record is from RNAcentral.
CAGUCUGCAUGGAGCCGGCCUUGAAAUACCACCCUUUAAUGUUUGAUGUUCUAACGUGGACCCGUGAUCCGGGUUGCGGACAGUGUCUGGUGGGUAGUUUGACUGGGGCGGUCUCCUCCUAAAGAGUAACGGAGGAGCACGAAGGUUGGCUAAUCCUGGUCGGACAUCAGGAGGUUAGUGCAAUGGCAUAAGCCAGCUUGACUGCGAGCGUGACGGCGCGAGCAGGUGCGAAAGCAGGUCAUAGUGAUCCGGUGGUUCUGAAUGGAAGGGCCAUCGCUCAACGGAUAAAAGGUACUCCGGGGAUAACAGGCUGAUACCGCCCAAGAGUUCAUAUCGACGGCGGUGUUUGGCACCUCGAUGUCGGCUCAUCACAUCCUGGGGCUGAAGUAGGUCCCAAGGGUAUGGCUGUUCGCCAUUUAAAGUGGUACGCGAGCUGGGUUUAGAACGUCGUGAGACAGUUCGGUCCCUAUCUGCCGUGGGCGCUGGAGAACUGAGGGGGGCUGCUCCUAGUACGAGAGGACCGGAGUGGACGCAUCACUGGUGUUCGGGUUGUCAUGCCAAUGGCACUGCCCGGUAGCUAAAUGCGGAAGAGAUAAGUGCUGAAAGCAUCUAAGCACGAAACUUGCCCCGAGAUGAGUUCUCCCUGACCCUUUAAGGGUCCUGAAGGAACGUUGAAGACGACGACGUUGAUAGGCCGGGUGUGUAAGCGCAGCGAUGCGUUGAGCUAACCGGUACUAAUGAACCGUGAGG